GGGCGAUUAGCUCAGUCGGUAGAGCGCAUGCCUCACAUGCAUGAGGUCGGCGGUUCGAUCCCGUCAUCGCCCACCA
RNAcentral lists this transfer RNA (76 nucleotides) under Bacillota bacterium. RNAcentral's name for it is "tRNA-Val". It matches the Rfam family "tRNA". Rfam says of the family: Transfer RNA (tRNA) molecules are approximately 80 nucleotides in length. The record is from RNAcentral. Lineage: Bacteria; Bacillati; Bacillota.